GAGAUAGCGUUAUCCAUCCACCCUCUAGCUUUCUUUAGCCACCCUCGCUGCUGUAUUUCUCUCCGCGCCUCGUGUUGCCAUGUGACAUAUUGAUUUAUUUGCUCUUUCUACUUCUAUCUUGCCUGCAGUGUACAGUCACGAUGGCAGGGACACUCUCUCCUGUUUAUACUGUUUCUGUUACGCUGGCAAAUAAUAAGCACUCAGUGAGAGGGAGGGGUGAAAAAGAAGGGAGAGGAGGAGGAGGAGGAAGGGGGAAGGGAAAGGAAAGGGGGGAGGAUGGGAAGGAGAAAGAAAAGAAACAAGGGAAGGAAGUAGGGAGGGUGAGUGCUGACUCAGCCACCCACUUCCUGGUCACGUGACCAUAAGUCACUUUGCUCCUGGGUCAGUUUUUUCCUCCCUACACUGCAGAGUUUAGAUCCAUCAAUCACUCCCGGCACUCAUGGUCCAUCAUUCCGUGCAUCGUGAUUCUGUUUCUUUUGAUUGCAGGUACAAUAAGAAGAUAGUCUCCACGGGUCCAUGCUUGCCUGGCAAGCACAAGGUCCUGAGUUCAAUUCCCAGUACCAGAAAACACAAGAACAACAAACAGAUAGUGGCAGGAGGAAGAGCCUCUCACAUCAGUGGGCUUUGUACUUCAUUGUCACAACUACUAGUGAGCUGGGAACCACAAAUCUCACCCGCUAGUCAGGAGAAAGGUAGGAAGAAUUUUGUCAAAGAUCGAUUAGCUUCUGGAAUGGAUCCUGGAUUUGGGGAAUGUCACAUUCUGGCCAGGCGGAUAUCACGCAGCACCUCAUGUCAAAAUCACCACAGCCCUUGCCAAGGAGAGAACCUACUUCCCUGUGCAGCAGAGAGGACCAUCGGGUGCUGGCUCUUAAUUCCUGGCUCAGCCAAGCAACUUAACAGUGAUGGUCAACGUUAUUUUGCAAAAGCCAGGAAAGCACUGAAAUCUAAGGCGCUGUCCAGUCAUUCAUCAAGACUCAGUGAAAACACUGCUUCUGUAUCUAAAAUGCAGACAUCUUCUGUAUAAACAAGGGAUUUUUUUUUCACUGUGUACAGAACUUUCACUUUAGUGAUUACAGCAUCUUCAAAACUGAAAGACUGCCAAGGAAAAGGGGUGG
RNAcentral lists this long non-coding RNA (1115 nucleotides) under Fukomys damarensis (Damara mole-rat). RNAcentral describes it as "lncRNA (ENSFDAG00000032863.1)". Lineage: Eukaryota; Metazoa; Chordata; Mammalia; Rodentia; Bathyergidae. The record is from RNAcentral.